Molecule: long non-coding RNA, 210 nt
Filed under: Elaeis guineensis (African oil palm)
Lineage: Eukaryota; Viridiplantae; Streptophyta; Magnoliopsida; Arecales; Arecaceae
Description: long non-coding RNA (EGUI_LNC009183)
Source: RNAcentral
CAACCUACUCAACCUUACCGAUGUCAUGAUAAUAUUUCAGAUGAUAGUUCAUCGAAAAGACAUAACCCUCGUUAUCACCCUUAGACCCGAUAGAACUGCUCUCUCUGUCCUUUUUUAUCACUUAGUGUCUCAAUCCAAGACAUCCUACUAAGCUUUUCCUCUAGGACCUAUCUUUCUAGAACCAUUCCAAGCUUUAUUAUAACAUUUGAG